This 2334-nucleotide long non-coding RNA is filed under the name Malus domestica (apple). RNAcentral's name for it is "long non-coding RNA (MDOM_LNC015485)". The record is from RNAcentral. Lineage: Eukaryota; Viridiplantae; Streptophyta; Magnoliopsida; Rosales; Rosaceae.
GUUGUUGCAUGUGCAUUCCCAUCCAAUUCAAUAACGUAAGGAAGACUUGAAGGUUAAAAAAGUGCUAUCAUAGUUAACCUAGGGCAUUGAGAUUCAUAGUUUAUUGAAAGAAGCAAUUGGAAAUCAAUUUGAAUGCAAGUGUUUCAUGUGUGGAGAAGAUCCCCCUAGUUACCCCAUAUCUCAUCAAAUCACCUAAUUUUGUCUAAGAAUCUGUUUUCAUUGUUCUUGUCUUAAUUUAAUUAUUUUCGUCCAAAAUCAACCCCACCUUAUUUCUUUGAGUCAUAUUAACUAGAACUUGUCUUAGAAUAUGUUUUUAGGUGUUUUAGGUCAUUAGAAAACCAAAAUUCGUCCAAGUUGUGUUAGAGUCCCAAAACUACCAGAAAGUGGGUUUUAGGCUGUUUUGAGUCUUUUGGUUCGUUUUAGUGUUUUAGAGUUUAGUUUUGCAUUCUUUGAGUCUAGUUUCGUAUUUUAAACUUUGUUUACAGAUUUGAGUCAGUUUAGAAUGUUUUAGCAAUCCCUCAUAAUCCCCGGUUUAAGAACGAUCCCUACUUAUCCAUACUACAAUUGUCAACAAAAGGGUUAAUUUGUGUGUUUAGUUAUUUUACGCAUCAGAAUCCUAGAAAAGUUGGUUUGAGAACCAAGGGUAUCUCCUAAACAUAGAGGCACCCCACUCCAAAUCUACAAGAAUCUAACAGAUUUUGAAGAAGUAGAGGCAUGCAAACAUAUAAUGGUUGGUAAUAGGAGCCUCUGCCAAGAUUCAGGCUGGAGCUAUGUCUUCGGAGAACUCCAGAUUGGUAGCCCGCAACUCAAGGAAGUACCACUAGAGCUAGAGCUACACCAUCCAAGCAGCCUCGUUAAUGUUGGCCUCAAAAGGCUCAUUCUUGGUCAUUUCGUGGAGAAGGUGAUAGAGAUGCGCUAAGAUGAAUGGCCAUGUGGCAGCAUCAUCGAAUGAGUGCAGUGCCUCCACCAAGGGGAUCCAUUCCAGCUUCAUUCUCUUCGAUUUAUUGGGGAACACAUGCUUAUUCAACCAGAAAAGGAGGAAGUAUAUGUGUUCCUGAGCUCUGUUUGUAGUAAGGGAAUGUGGGCUGAACAUCUUCUUGGAGAAGGGAAUGAAGCCUGCGAAUGAUGUCCCGUAGCUUUUGAAGGUAGAGGAAUUGUAUUCCAGAUGAAUGAUUACAUUAGAGGCCUCCGAGCGUUCAGCGAUUGGUCAAGAAAGCGAUGACUAGUCAUGUGUGAUAUCCGCACAUCUAGCCGAAGGCCUCAGGUUGAAGACCUAAGCCAUGUCCAAGGUUGUGGGAGUCAUGGAACCCAUUCUGAAGUCGAAUGUGUUGGUCCCAUUUUUCCAGAAGAGCAAGGCAGUUGAUGGAAACUCGUGCUUGAUUAGGAUAGUGAUCUUCGACAUCAUGAUCAGCUCGUAGAUGCCAUUUGCCAUCCAUUUUUGCUUCCAAAUGGGUUCUAGCUCGUUCACCUAUUGAGACUAAGCUUCGUCCUUUAUAAGAGGGAAACCCCUCUUAAAAUUCGACCACUUGGAGGCAAAAAUCCUAGCCACAGCAGAGUAGGGGUGGGGGUAAACCAAUUGGCAACGGGCAUGUUUUUCUCCACUGCAACUGGGACUCGAGCAGUCUAGGUAGGCCCCAAAGAAUGUACCCCUUCCUUUUCAAAUAAGAUGGACAAGUUCAGGCCAGCCCGAGGGCAAUGAAGAUCGUUGAGCCGGCGGCGCAAAUUGAUGAUCCCCUUUCCAGAUUCGCAUGCAGGGCGUAGUUUGGGGGCCAUGGUUGAUUUCCAGAAAGUGAAGUGAGAAGUGAUUGAAACUAGGGCAAGAAAAAGCUGUGAAAGUAAGGGAUUCAAGGAUUCUGGAAAUUCAAAGAGAUGAGUUUAUGGGAAGUGAUGGCCAGGGAAAUUUAAAUAGAGGUUAUUUAACGGGCAAUUAGUUAACGUUGGAGAUCAUGGGUUAGUGCAAAGGUUUAUUCGAAAACAGUUGAGUAAAUGGCGCAAGUCCUGAGUUAAAGCAUGCAAUUAAUUUUAAUCAUUAUCAAUGUCUUGGUUAACAGACUUGAUAAUGAUUAAAGGGGGCACUGUUUGGGCUUAUAUUUGAUUAUGGGCUUUGUGACAAUAGAGGCCCAAAGAUGCAAAAGCAAAUAGAUGAUUGGGCUCGGCAAGUUGAUAGGCCCGAGAGGAAUUGGAAGUUAUUUUAGCAAAGGCAUAGGCCACAUGCCUAUGUUUGAAGUGAUGGGCGACAUAGAACAGCUCACCAUAAGCUAAAAAGCACUUUUUUGGGGUAUGGAUGAGUAAAUAGGUGAUGACUCAUUGCCCUCCGAAAGUUAUUAGUUAAAG